RNAcentral lists this long non-coding RNA (22251 nucleotides) under Ananas comosus (pineapple). RNAcentral describes it as "long non-coding RNA (ACOM_LNC011048)". Lineage: Eukaryota; Viridiplantae; Streptophyta; Magnoliopsida; Poales; Bromeliaceae. The record is from RNAcentral.
UCGCUUCUUUUCUCAAUGAUUUUACCGCCAACCUAAUUGCUUCUCCAUCUUUAUACUUGGUAAAGGUCUUUCCCAUCUUCAAAAUGCUGCCACUGAGUAUCUCGGCCUCUGUUUUAAUCCCAUAAUGGUCCAUUAAGUUCCCCAGCUUGAAAUCGUAAUCAUCCUUGAAAGAAGAAGCUUCAUCGAGGUAAUCACUAAAGCCGUCGACUUCCAUAUCAGGGUCGUAAGACCGCCUUGCCGCCUCCUUUGUGAAUUUCUUUAUACUGUCUGACUGGGGUGUACUCUCUUUGAUCGCUCUGUAGAGUCUUCCUAUAACACCCUUUGAUUCAUAGGUAACUUUGUCGAGUUUCUCCAUGAAAUCAGGAUACUCCUUCACGUGGAGGUGUUGCGGGAUUUCGGCUGGCACUCCUGUUUUAGGGAAGUCGACGGCAAUAGAAAAGAGCUUCGCGAGCUCUACACAGGCCUGACUUAAAGCUUUAAGUGGCUCCUUAUCAGCACAGACUGUGUGGGCAUUAGCGAUGAUCCCUAAACUGUCAUUGACAAUAUAGUUUGUGAAGUAUUCCAUCACUUCCUGCAUGCCGCCACCACAGAUAGACAGUUAAUAUUGCCCACAAAAGAUCAACUACACACACACACACACACAUAGAGAUAUUGAGUUUUCUGCAGUAUAUACUCCUGAAAGAACACGAAAUUGCACAAAUACCCUUGCAAAGUACGUAUUUGUAUACAUAUACUGAAAAGCUCGCUUAUUUUGUUGUGUGUCCCACUUGGGGUAUCUAUGCAAAAAGCAUUUUUGCAUAGAAACCCCUGGAGGAGGAUGAAUGCAAAUAAAUAAAGUUUUAACGGGCACACUCAAAAAUACCAACUUUCUAUGAGUAUUGCAUAUCUUCGCCUAUUUGCAGGGGUUACAUGCAAACAAGACCCAAAACUGUUGCAGCUCCUUUGACGAGACCUUUAUACAUCUAAACUCUCUUGCAAAUUUCCAUUUGAAAGAGUUUCUGCAGGUAUAUUAGCAUAUAAACCAAAUUGUUUUAUAAAGAGUACAUGUAUAUGCAGUUACUGCUCAUAAAAUAGCAGAUUAGUCAUUGAGUAAUUUGAAAGGAUGAAUCACACUUUUAAUUUGUUACAGUAUUACCUCAAUAGAAACAUCGUGAUCUAGGGUCUCUGUUGGUGCCUGAGUAUAAUCCAUAGGAGAAACCAUACAAGGAGGAAUAAGUGUUGGGUCCCAACAGACAAAGUAUAUGUCUCCAUCUAAGUCACUUCCCGAACACUCGUUAGGAUGGGGUCUGAAUAAUGACAAACAAAUUAGAAAUUAAAUGGUAGAACAUAUACAGUACGUAUGCGCAAAUGCCAAAAGAACGGGAAGCAAGUGAUAUGCUGAUGAAAGAAGUUUGUAAACAAAAAGGCAUUACUCAAUGAUAUGGUAAAGAAAGCAUUCCUACACGAAGUGCCCAGAAUGCCUUACAACUAAUAACUACAAAAGAAUGCAUGUUUUCGCAGUCAAAAGCCUAACUUAGUGCUGCAAAUACAAGACAGUCAUUUGUAGUUCAAGAAGACUAAAGAAGUUGUAGUACAUGGAAAGACACAAUUAAAUACAUUAAGAAGACACAUUUGAAAGGAUUACGAUCUAAUCAGUAAAAUUGAUUAAGAUUCAAAGCAAACAAACAAUAAUAAGGGGGAAAAAAAGGCACUUCACCUCUUCCCUUUCUGCGGAAAGACAACACAAUCGACCAUAUGGCGCAGAGCAGGAACAUCAACAGCCAUUAAAACACGAACAUCACCAGGGUGGAGGCAAGGGUUCUUAGCAACCACUACUUUACCCUUCACCACAACCGUGUGAUCAUCUGAUUCGCUCUCAGCGAACAUAUACAAGCCAUUAUUUUGAAACUGUGAGCUCCCAGUACAUGAGAUCUGAACAAAGACCUGCCCGUAUUCUAAUUUGCGGGUUUCAUCCAAGCAACCCAUCAUCGCCCUCCCUUUUGGAACAAAUAUCCUCAACUUAGUUCUCAGUUCCAACAGCCUCGUUGCCCUAAAUGCCUGCAACAGCAUCGAAAGGAAAGGCUCGCGAUUGGGUUUAUACCCACAUAGCAACAGUUCUUUGAGAACAUUGGUUGUUUCACCAGGAGACAUAAGCUCAACCGCUUCAUAAGCCAUUUCAGGAUCAGUCAAAAUUUUAUCCAGCUGAUUCACAGCUGCUUCUUGCUUCACUUCAAAUAUACUAUCCCUGAUUCCCAAGGUAGAAAGAAGAGUAAUUAACUGUCGAUUUAGGAAGCACGGCUGGUACUUGGUAUAGGCAAGGACAUCCAGUUUUGUAUUUGUGGACUCAUACUUAGACAUACUUUUUCGUAGAGAAAGCUUCUUAGAAGAAGUUGGAUCGACGGCCACAACACCUUUAUAGCCUCCAUACCUUAUUUGGAAGGCCGAAGGAGUUGAACUCUUCAAGCCAUAUUUUGCAGCAACUCUUCUUGCAAAAUCAGCAGAAAUCUUUCCAAUUCCAUCAGAGAAGCAACAACUUGUCCCGUUAUACACAUCAUCAAUGAUAUCUACUUCAUGCCUGCCAACACUUAAAGUUUCCGUGGAGGAACUGAAAGAUUGGCCGAGCCUAGCAGCAUACUUAGCCACAUUUCUGAUACUUCGGAAGUCGCCCAUCCACUGUCUAAUGUCACUUGCAGUCAUCUCAAUUCCUGAAGCGAACAUCCACGCCGAAUUGUCCCGCAACUGGCUAGAUGAGAAGGCGAGAAAUUCGAACUUCUUAUUGCCAAUGGCAAUACCAUUUCUCAGGACCGACAAUAUUCUUUUAUAAAGUGCUGUAUGUCUUGCACCAUUUGAAGAACCAGACCGUGGCGACAAAUCGGUUGAGCGCAUUUUCUCGCAAUCCUCAUCAACAAAAGAAACCCGAAGAAAAUUAUUCAUUUCAUCCGAAAAAUGCCGUAGCACACGAUUGGAGACGUUAACUUCAGGCCCGCAAAAGUACACUUUAGAAGGGGUAACUUGAACCCUAUGGACAUAAACUAAACCAUCAUCCAAAGAUAUUCUAGGCGAUUUUGGAGGGCAGUCUGAUUGUUUAUACUUUAAAUACUGCUUAGACAGCCAGAUAGCCGGAUCCAAGCAGGUCUUUUUGAAACAAGACAUCUUUUCUAUGGCAUGUACUAUAUAAUCAACAGGCACAAGAUAAGGGCUGACCAAUCUAAAGAACUCGUCAUCAAGUGUUGGACCACUGAUCGUCCCGUUCUGGACCAUUUGAUUGAUCUUGAAGAGUAUGUUAUAAGGCACUUGAAUCAAUGGGUGAGGCUCCACAAUAGGGACUAGCUCCACAUUGCAAGAGUAGGAAGAUCCUCUGUUCAGUUCAUAAUGGCCGUUAAACUCUUCAUAAAAGACAAAGUAUUCACGGAUAUUUGGAAGUUCGUAGUCGUAGGGCAGCUGCAAACAUAUUACAGAUGACUGUCCCAUGCUGCAUGAGGGCGAAAAAUCCGUUGAUCUAAUCCACUUAUCAUCUGGAGUUUCCUUAAAAUAAUUUAGAAGAGGAUCUUCUUGUACAAGACUGGAACUACGAAGCGGCAACUCAUAAAUCUUAGGUGCAGCUGCCAUCUGAAGUAUCAAAACCAGAGCUGAAAAUCAGUUUCUGUCAAGCAAGGAUUAAAAUUUUAAAAAAAGGGCCACCUGAUUGCUGUAAAUGGUUUCAGUAAUGUGCAAGAUUAGAAUGACAAUUUCAAAGAAGAUUGAUACCAUUUUAUUUGUAACUGGUACUUGGCCCAUUUAUAGGAAAUAGAGAAAAACACACAUCAUACAAGUAAAGUUCUGUUAGCAGAAUAGAUUAAAAUCUGUAUCAAGGUCUUCCCCUCCAGCGAAUGCAAAAUGUUCAGGCAAGCGGUUCAAAAAUCUACUAUUCUGUUGACUGACUUAGUAAGUAGACAAAUGGAAUGAUGUAUCAGCAUUUGAAGGAUGAUGUAUAAUUAUUGUAAAUUGAAUGAAACAAAAAAAAAGAAGAGGAACCAAUUGUCAUAUUUUGGCACUAAAGUAUCUAAAAGCCAAGUAAUUAAAGAAAAAAAAUAUGACUUCAACACAGAAAAUACUUGAGAAAGACGGACCUGAAACAAAAGGAAUUGUGAACCUUGAUCAGACGAGCGGUGUAGCUGGAUCUCCCAUAUGCUUUCAUAAGAAAGCUCGAGCUUGUAUUCAAAACUUCCCUUGGAGAGAAAAAAGUAUAUCUUCCUCAAAUUAAAACCAAAGUUAACGUGAACGUCGGAAGCACUCCAGAGAACACAAAAGCUUCUUUUCGAAACCGGGCAGCCAAAAUGAAGGGUUGCACGUUCUACAACAAAUAGAGAAGAUCUAGGCUUCGGCACAAUGUCGCGUUCCAUAUAUCGAGCCUUAAGAUAAUAUCCCUGACACCUCAAGAGGCUAUUGUCAGCCAAGUAAAUUAUUUGUUUGGCUUGCCCUUCUGUUAAGAACUGAACCACAGCAUAAGAUCUCGACUUUCCAGUGGUUACUUUUGGUUGUCUAAGCUUGAGCGCAUAGACGGAUCCAUCGCUUAUAAAUCCUUCCAAAAUGUUCUUCGCAUAAUCAGCGCUAGCAUGUAGCGGGAAACCAUGAAUAUUAACCGUCUUGCCUCCCAUCACUUCAGUUGCUGAAGGACCAGAUAAAAACUCAGUUAGCAUUUCUUAAUUCGACUAUGGCUAACAAUCUUUGUGAAAAAGAAGUAUACGUUUGGCAAACACAAUUAGCAACAUGUUGAAUCUGGAUAUCUCCCUUAAAAUAGAAAAAAAAAACUUUUUAUGGGGACAAAAGCUUUCUUUUAGCAUCAAAUACAUUAUGUUUAUUUUAAAACUUUUCUCCAAACAGAGAGUAAACAAGCUAAGAAUGAUCACAGUAAAAAAAAAAAUAGCACCGAGAGCAACAAAAUUCCUCAAGAUUAUCUCCAGCUAUAAGAUUUCUAAGGCACAGCAUUUUUUACAACAAAUAUCAAAUUGUUUGACAAAGACAUUAUAUAUCUAAUCUGAAUCAAGAAGAAACAAGAGAUUUCUCCAGUUAAAUCGCAAAUAAAACGAGAUGACUAUAAUUAGUAGCACUCCCGAUUAUUAUAAAGAAUCAAACCCGAGAGCCCCGUUUCAUAUCAAGCAUCAUCAAGCCCAACUGGGGAAGAAAAUUACCAUAAAUGGCAAAAAAAAAAUCGACUAAUUUGCGAGCUCCACUGUAAGAAAGAUCAAAACAAUAUCUAUGAGAGAGACAGUGGUUUCCCACGAAGAGAAAAGAAACCCCCACUAAAAAUCGCACCUUCGUGCUACAAUACAUAGAAACAAAGGAAGAAAACAAAGAAUUAUGAAAAUCCACUGGAAAAAAAACCUCAGAUAGAGAAGAAAAAUUACCAAAAUUAGCUAAAAAAAUGCGAUUAUUUCCGUAAAUAGGGGGAAAAAAUCGCACCUUUACGCUACUAUACGUAACAACAAAGAAAGAAACCAAUAAUUAUGAACACCCAUCGGAAAAAAAAAAAAAAUCCGAUAAGUUACGAGCUACCACACAAGAAGAUCACAACAAGAUGUCCAAGAGAGAGUGAUAUCCCGACGAAGAGAAGAGUAAAAAUCUCACCUUUAGGAUGCUCGAGGAGGGGAAAACACGCGGAGACGGGGAGCGAGAGCGACGAGAGUGGGGGAGUGAGCGAGUGAGUGAGUGCGUGCUCUUCUAACAAGUAAACGUUUUCGACGUGAGUCGCGGGACCCACCAUCAGUGGCCACGUCGCGCGUAAAGAGAUUCUGUGAAUUGGUCUAAUUAGUUACCUUCUCCACCCUCCAAAAUACUCAUUUUAUUUUUUUCUCAAAAUUUUAAUGGAUGAAAACUUUUUGAUUAUAUAUAUAUAUAUAUAUAUAUAUAUAUAGAGUUUGGCUGAGCUACUAUUGGUAGUAAACUGCUCGGUUUACUACCGAUUUAUUUUUGAUGAUAGAGCUUCCAAAUCGACGAUCAGCACCAUUGAACAUGAUUUAGACCAUUUAAAUUAUCUAGAAAUCAAAUUUCAUGAUUAUUUGGCAUCACUAACUAAACGAUUAAAAGGUCACAAAAUUUAUAAUUUUAAUGGCCGAUGUGGUGCGUUUGCUUGUUUAACGGUAUAGAAGAGUUCAAAUCAACUAAAUUUUUGUUAAAAAAAUCUUUAAACUAUUUAAAAUAAGAUCUAAACUCUAGAUCUCAAAUAUAAAAAUUGUAUUAUCACUUUUUUGAAGGAUAUUCAUUUCCAGCCAUUCAUUUUUCUGUUUACUUGAUAGACAAAAGAACAAUAUCGAAAAUGUGUGAAAUUUGAUUUUUCGAUAAUUUAAAUAGUUUAGAUCAAUUUUAACGGUGCCGAUCAUCAAUUUGGAAGCUCUAUCAUCGAAAACAAAUCGGCAGUAAACCGAGCCGUUUACUACUGAUAGUAUUCUAGCAAAACUAUAUAUAAGAGAGAGAGAGAGAGAGGGAGAGUAGGGUUACUAUACUCUUAUGAGUAUAGAGCCCUUUCGUACUCGUAAAUUGUUUUCAAUGUUAGGGUUUUCGAAUCGACGAUCCACACCGUUAAACAUGAUCUAGAGAAUUUAAAACUUCUAGAAAAUAAAUUUUGUAAUUUUUUGAAAUCAUUAUAAAGUCCAUCAAGCGGAUAUAAAAUGAACGGUCAAAAUCGAACGACAUCCUAAAAAUGGAUGAUCGGGUCCUUCAAUUUAAGAUCAGGGUUGUUGAUCUUUAUCUAAGUAGUGAAUAGAAUUUUCUAUCAAAAAUUCAAGCUAUUCCGAUUCUUUUACACCUUUAAACUAGCAACUAUCACAUACCGGCCAUUAAAAGUUGCCAAUUUUAUGAGCUUUUGAUCGUAAGGUAAAUGAUGUCGAAAUAUUAUAAAAUUUAAUUUCUAGAAGCCUUAAAUGCUGUAGAUAACGUUUAACGGUGUAGAUCGUCGAUUCGGAAACUUUAUCAUUGAAAACAACUUAUGAGUACGAGGGCGAUCGUACUCAUAAGAGUAUAGUAGCUCUACUCUCUCUCUCUCUCUCUCUCUCUCUCUAUCUAUAUAUAUAUAUAUAUAUAUAUAUAUAUAUAUAUAUAUAGAGUUUCAUCUCUUCUUUGUGCACCUUAAGAAACUGAGAGACAUUUUGUGUGACCAUUUGUUGGAGAAAAAGGAUCUCUCGAUCUCAACAUGAGAUUGAUGAUGAUGGGUUCUAAGCGAUGCGCCGUUCUUUUUCUUAUGAUCAUCUUAGCAUCUCUACUCUCCACUUCAUUCGCAGGUCAAUUAAUUUGUAUUUCAUGCAUAUUUCUUUUUUUGAUGCAUUUGUUGUCAUCUAUAGAAACUAAGGCCAUGCAUGCAUCUCUCAUGAAAGAUGAUUCAUAUUAUUUAUUCUUCUAAUCAUACUUUGUUUGUAAUUUCUUUUUCAAGAGACUAAAAGUUUAAAACUAGUUUUUGAAAUCUUUUUUAAUUUUGUUGUAGCUCUAUUGUUAGAAUACGAUCGAUAAAUAUAAGAAGCAACGGAAAAUUUUUUUGAUCUUCUAUGUAGUAGUAGUACUUUGGUGACCCAAAAAAGGAACAACAUGAACUUGUUUUUCUGAAUUAUUGUAAACCCAGUUGUUCAUUUAUUUUGUUGCAUGAAUUUUAGAGACAAUUAAAUAGCUAAAUAUGAGCAGCAUGUAAAAUCACUCUUUGUGAAAAGAGAUUUUAUUUUUAAAAAUUUUUUUACUAAUUUUUUUUUUAUGGUUUUACACAGGAGGGGAUCGGCUGUUCUUCGCGAAAUAUGGAAGAGAAGUCGAAAAGAAGGUUUGUAGUAGAAAAAAUAGGAGAUUAUUUCAUCUUUUUUUCCUCCUCUCUUUUUUUUUUUCUUUAAAUUUUUUCUGCUAUAUUUAUUGUCAGGAUAAAUGGUAAGGUUCCACUUUUACAUGUGAAUAAACCCUACUAUAUAACAUCUAAGAAGAGAAUGUAUCACUUAUAAGAAAAUAAAACUUUUAAGUCACAUAUAAGAUCUUAUAUUUCUAUUGCCAAAUGGUUAGGGAUACAUAAUUAUAGAAGUUGCUUAGGAAGAGGCUAAGUUAAUAUUAUUUUCCAAAGUAAGUGCAAGAAUUAAUAGGUUCUUAAUUCCUACUUAGCAUGGCUUCGCGUCAACAAUUUCGCAACAUUGCAAAGCCAUUACGAACAAUUUGGCGAACAAUUUUAAUUUGCUUAAGUCGAGAGCCAUUUAAGAGAUUUUUAUUGAAAAAGUUUAGUGUUUCUUCGUACAGCUAUAUUCGAAAUGUGCUUUCUCAAAAAGUUUAUCUCCUUAACGAAAAAUAUUGUUUUUGUUACUCGGUUUUCUCCGAUUCGUAAUCAUGUUUUUUCUUUCUUUUGAUCAAUUACAGGAUUUAGCUACAAAGAAUUUGAAGCAAGAAAAAGUUGUCCACACUAGAAUUCUCCAAGCGGAAACAAAUGACUAUGGAAGCUAUGACCCUCCCCCUUCUUUCAACAAGCCUCCAUUCAAGCAAAUACCAAACUAAUAUUAAUUCCACUCCUUUUUUCCCCCUCUUUUUUUUUCUAUUAUUCUUGGUCGAUAUGUAGAAUAAAUGUCGCGUUGUAUCUAAUAUUUAUGUGCGAUUUUGUAAAUGUAUAAUAUACAAAUACUGAUUAUAUAUACUAUUAAUUAAGUGUGUAUAAGAAAUUGAAGAUAUGCAAUUAUUAUUGUUUACAUUAUUUUCCUGUUGAAUGGUGCAUUAAUUCUUUUUUGCUCUAGCUAGUUCUUUUCUUUUGUUUUUCAUGUUAAUUAAUGUAAUAGCUCAUAUCAAUAUAGAAGUGAGAACAUGCAAAUGGACUCAUGAAUCAGUUAAGCAAUAGAUAGUGUAGUAAUAAUGAGGAGAACUCGCGAAACUCCAUUUCCAUUACGAAUUUAAUAGGGUUUUUGAAGAUGUUUUAUGAAUCUAGUAGUUUUUUUUUAGAAAAAACUUCAAAUAUUAUUUCUGUGGUUUUGCACUUUUUUAUUUUAUUAGUACCAUUUGGUUUAAAGUGUAUUAAUUUAGUACCCCGUGAUUUUAUUUUUUUCUUUUUAUUAUCCCCUCCACUAUUUUUUUUUAUUAAAUUAGUAAUAGAGUUAAAACCAAAAGGUACUAAAGUGAAUAUUCGGUAAAUCUAGGUAGAGUAUCUGAAAUUUUUUGUAUAUAAUUUAACGAAAUAUUAAUAGAGGAGCUAACAAAAAUAGAAAAAUAAAACCACAGAGUAUUAAUUAAAUUAAUACACUUUAAACCAUAUGGUUAGGAAUGUCAACAGGUCGGGUUUGGGUNCCACGAGGAUUUUAAUGGACUGUUAUCAUCUGUGAGAACAAAAAAAAAAAAAAAAAAAAGCAAAUUGAAUGAGGUUGCUAUCAAGACGGUUUCGGAAAGCUUUCGUCGAAAGUAGCAAAUAUGAUUAGAAAAGGGAAUUGUCUGUAAAUAACAAUGCUGCGACCACCGUUGUCACCAAUGUUCAAAAAUAUAGAAUCAAUGACCAAGGGAUUCAGGAUGUAAUAUACGGAACAGCGAGCGUUCGUGAUGAAAUAGCACAUUUUCACAUAAGUGUCGGAUCAUCGAAUUUGUACGUACAACAAACAAACCAUGAUCGAGCACCAAUGCUCGAAUCAUUUCAUGCUCAAAAAUAGAAUGACUCCCUCUUAAUUUUGAAGUUAACUAGUUGGAUCACCACGAGAACCAUUUGGUGCUUCAUUUGCCGAUGACCGCGGAAGUUCUUUUGUACAGUGCCAAUUUGCCUUGCUUCUCUUCGUCGGAUCCUAUUGGCCAAGCCUCUCCAUCUUGGGAAACUAUUGAUAAACUGGCUAUAAUUUUCUCUGUCUCUACUUUCUUUAAGAUUGGAUAUGGCACAUUGGGCCCCUUUUGGAAUUGCAUUUGGCUAGGCGAGACCUCUCUCAAGCGUAGAUUCCCUAACCUCUUUUCUUUUGCAAUUGACCCGAAUGCACGCAUCGGUGCACGCUAUGCUGCGCAUUCAUGGUACAUCUCAACCAGGAGUGACCUAUCCAGAGAAGCAGAAGAAGAUCCCCAGAACCUACAUGAUGAACUACACUCCAUCUCAUUUUUGCUUGAAUCAAAUAAAAUCAUGUGGCGAUGGGCCUCAAGGGAGUGCUUCUCUGUUUCAUCAGCUCACACUCUCCUAAUCAACAGGGGUGUUAGGUAUGGUCACCGUAUUAUGAUCCGGAGGCAAGUCAUUCCUCUGAAUGUCAAGAUUUUCACUCGGCUCGCCAUUCAUAAUAAAAUACUUACUGCCGAUAUUUUGGCCCAAAGAGGUUGGCCAAACUCCGAAAAAUGUGUUCUUUUUGGAACUUCCGAUGAAACCUGUAAUCAUCUUUUAAUCUACUGUCCCUUUACAGUAGAUGUUCUGGCCCUCCGCCUUCGUAGGACAAACCUCACCCACGCGGGUUCACUACAUCUAACUGAUUGGUGGCGCACCGUCAGAUAUUCUUUCUUGAAGGAACUGCAGCCUGGCUGUGACUAUCUCAUCAUGGCUUUCUUUUGGUGCAUUUGGUUGGAACGAAAUAGCAGGAUUUUUCAAUGUGCCACAAAGAUUACAAGAUCAAUAGCAAUCAGAAUCAAAUCUUCCUUAGCUACUUCUCUAUCUAAAUUUUAGCUUGAGUUAUUUCAUCGAGAGUAAUUUUUUGACUUUGAAAUGAAAUACCAGAGAACUACAUAUGUAAACCUUGGAGAUGUACAUAAUUUCAUGUAGUAGUAUUAUUCUGGUAAACAGGCCUACCUACCACUUUCCAAAAGAACAGAAAAAGAAGAAAAAAACUGAAUAGGUACCUCGUGUUAGUCUGCAAGGUGCUGCAUCCGAUCUGCACAGCAAAUUCAUGGCCAGCGUAGCACAUCCCGUACUGCCUCUUCAAACCACACAUCUCAGAGGAAAAUUUAUUAGUCAAAAAUACAAGAAAAGAAAAAGAGAACUAUCAAUGAAGAUAUCAACUCUCAUAAAGAAAAAAAAAUAUUCUUGCAAAGAAGGCUCAAGGAAUAUGUUUCGAAUUAAUACAAGCUACGUGAAAAAUAUUACAAGCCAAGCAGUUUACAAUAUUAUUACAACACAACCAUAUUAACUACCUUAACUGAUUCACAAGCACACUCUAAUAAAGUUUACAAUAUUAUUACAACACAACCAUAUUAACUACUUUAACUGAUUCACAAGCACACUCUAAUAAUUAUUACAUAUGUACACAAUGUGUACACAUAGAUCACCAAAAUGACUUCAAUUCUCUCAAACGAUUCUCAACCCUUGCUCCAUCCAUGAUGACAAUUCAGCUUGCCUCUUCCUCAUCACUAUCUUCUUUUGUUUGAUGAUCACCAGCUUAUCGUAGACGCUCCAAGGAAAGCUAAGGAAAUGGGGCCUGUCCAAACCUUCAUUGUAGCGACCCCAAUAGUCCGGGUGAUAAGUAACAUAAUACCAGGCUGAUGCUUUCGCAUAUAAGUCAUCUUCGCUCUGGUCGUCAUCACCACUCAUAUCUUUAAACCAUGACCUCGCUUCUUUCCUCAACGAUUUUACCGCCAACCUAAUUGCUUCUCCAUCAUUUUUCUUGGUAAAGGUCUUUCCCAUCUUCAAAAUGCUGCCACUGAGUAUCUCGGCCUCUGUUUUAAUCUCAUAAUGUUCCAUUAAGUUCCCCAGCUUGAAAUCGUACUCAUCCUUGAAAGAAGAAGCUUCGUUGAGGUAAUCACUAAAGCCGUCGACUUCCAUAUCCGGAUCGUAAGACUGCCUUGCCACCUCCUUUGUGAACUUCUUUAUACUGUCUGGCUGGGGUGUACUGUUUUUGAUUGCCCUGUAGAGUUUUCCUAUAACACCCUCUGAUUCGUAGGUAACUUUGUUGAGUUUCUCCAUGAAAUCAGGAUACUCCUUCACAUGGAGGUGAGGGGGAAUUUCGGCGGGCACUCCUGUUUUAGGGAAGUCGACGGCAAUAGAAAACAGCUUUGCGAGCUCUACACAGGCUUUACUUGAAGCUUUAAGUGGCUCCUUAUCAGCAAAGACUGUGUGGGCAUUUGCGAUGAUUCCUAAACUGUCGUUGACAAUAUAGUUUGUGAAGUACUCCAUCACUUCCUGCGUACCGCCACCACAUAUGAUAGACAGUUAAUAUCUCCCACAAAGGAUCAACUGUCUAUAUAUUUGUACACUACAUAGAGAUAUUGUGUUUUCUGCAGUAUAUACUCCAGAAAGCACAUGAAAUUGCACAAAUACCCUUGCAAAGUAGGUAUUUGUGUACAUAUACUGAAAAGCUCGCUUAUUUUUGCAUGUCCCUAGAGGGGUAUCUAGUAUCUACACACAAAUAUUUUGCAUAUACACCUCUGGAGGAGGAUGAAUGCAAAAAAAUAAAGUUUUAAAGGGCACGCUCAAAUCGCCUAUUUGCAGGGGUUACAUGCAAACAAGACCCAGAACUGCUAAGCAGCUAUUUUGAUGACACCUUUAUACAUCUAAACUCUCUUGCAAAUUUCCAUUUGAAAGAGUUUCUUCAGGUAUCUUAGCAUACAAACCGAAUUGUUUUAUAAAGAGUAAAUAUAUAUGCAGUUAUUGCUAACAAAAUAGCAGAUUAGUCGUUGAGUAAUUUGAAAGGAUGAAUCGCACUUCUAAUUUGUUAAAAUAUUACCUCAAUAGUAACAUCGUGAUCUAAGGUCUCUGUUGGUGCCGGAGUAUAAUCCAUAGGAGGAACCACCUGAGAAGGAAUUAGUGUCGGAUCCCAACAGACAAAGUAUGUGUCUCCAUCUAAGUCACUUCCCGAACACUCAUUAGGAUGGGGUCUGAAUAAUGACAAACAAAUUAGAAAUUAAAUGAUAGAAUAUAUACACUAUGUAUGCGUAAAUGCCAAAAGAACAAGAAGUCAGUGAUAUGCUGAAGAAAGAACUAUCUAGACAAAGAAGCAUUGCUCAAUGGUAUGCUAAAGAAAGCAUUCCUACACAGAAGUGCCCAAAAUGCCUAACAAUUAACAGCUACAAAAGAACGCAUGUUUUUACAGUCAAAAGCCUGACUUAGUGCUUGCUAAUACUAGACAGACAGGUGCAGUUCACCAAGGAAGAUGUUGUAGCACAGGAAAAGUCGCAACUAAAUAUGACAAGAAGACAUUUGAAAGGUUCACUGUCUAGCUAGUAAAAUUGAUUAACAUUUAAAGCAAACAAACAAUAAUAGGAAAAACAAAAAAGAAAAAGCACCUCACCUCUUUCCUUUCUGCGGAAAGACAACACAAUCGACCAUAUGGUGCAGAUCAGGAACAUCAACAGCUGUUAAAACACGAACAUCACCAGGGUGGAGGCAAGGGUUCUUAGCAACCACUACUCUUCCCUUCACCACAACCGUGUGAUCGUCCAAUUCGCCCUCAGCAAACAUAUACAAGCCAUUAUUUUGAAACUGCGAGAUCCCAGUGCAUGAGAUCUGAAUAAAGACCUGCCCGUAUUCUAAUUUGCGGGUUUCAUCCAAGCAACCCAUCAUCGCCCUCCCUUUUGGAACAAAUAUCCUCGACUUAGUUCUCAGUUCCAACAGCCUCGUUGCCCUAUAUGCCUGCAACAGCAUCGAAAGGAAAGGCUCGCGAUCGGGUUUAUACCCACAUAGCAACAGUUCUUUGAGAACAUUGGUUGUUUCACCAGGAGACAUAAGCUCAACCGCUUCAUAAGCCAUUUCAGGAUCAGUCAAAAUUUUAUCCAGCUGAUUCACUGCUGCUUCUUGCUUCAUUUCAAAUAUACUAUCGCUGAUUCCCAAGGUAGAAAGAAGAGUAAUUAACUGUCGAUUUAGAAAGCACGGCUGGUACUUGGUGUAUGCGAGGACAUCCAGUUUCGUAUUUGCGGACUCGUACUUAGACAUACUUCUUCGCAGAGAAAGCUUCUUAGAAGAAGUUGGAUCGACGGCCACAACACCUUUAUAGCCUCCAUACCUUAUUUGGAAGGCCGAAGGAAUUGAACGCUUCAAGCCACAUUUUGCAGCAACUCUUCGUGCAAAAUCAGCAGAAAUCUUUCCAAUUCCAUCAGAGAAGCAAUAACUUGUCCCGUUAUACACAUCAUCAAUGAUAUCUACUUCAUGCCUGCCAACACUUAAAGUUUCCGUGGAGGAACUGAAAGAUUGGCCAAGCCUAGCAGCAUACUUAGCCACAUUUCUGAUACUUCGGAAGUCACCCAUCCACUUUCUAAUGUCACUUGCAGUCACCUCAAUUCCUGAAGCAAACAUCCACGCCGAAUUGUCCCGCAACUGGCUUGACGAGAAGGCGAGAAAUUCGAACUUCUUAUUGCCAAUGGCAAUACCAUUUCUCAGGACUGACAAUAUUCUUUUAUAAAGUGCUGUAUGUCUUGCAUCAUUUGAAGAAACAGACCAUGGCGACAAAUCGGUUGAGUACAUUUUCUCCCAAUCCUCAUCAACAAAAGAAACCCGGAGAAAAUUAUUCAUUUCAUCCGAAAAAUACCGUAGCACACGAUUGGAGACGUUAACUUCUGGCCCGCAAAAGUACACUUUAGAAGGGGUAACUUGAACCCUAUGGACAUAAACUAACCCAUCAUCCAAAUAAAUUCUAGGCGAUUUUGGAGGGCAGUCUGAUUGUUCAUACUUUAGAUACUGCUUAGACAGCCAGUUAGCCGGAUCCAAGCAGGUCUUUUUGAAACAUGACAUCUUUUCUAUGGCGUGCACUAUAUAAUCAACAGGCACAAGAUAAGGGCAGACCAAUCUAAAGAACUCGUCAUCAAGUGUCGGACCACUGAUGAUCCCGUUCUGGACCAUUUGAUUGAUCUUGAAGAGUAUUUUAUAGGGCACAUGAAUCCAUGGGUGAGGUUCCACGAUGGGGACUAGCUCCAUAUUGCAAGAGUAGGAAUAUCCUCCGUUCAGUUCAUAAUGGCCGUUAAAUUCUUCAUAAAAGACAAAGUAUUCAUGGAUAUUUGGAAGUUCAUAGUCGUAGGGCAGCUGCAAACAUAUUACAGAUGACUGUCCCAUGCUGCAUGAGGGCGAAAAAUCCGUUGAUCUAAUCCACUGAUCAUCUGGAGUUUCCUUAAAAUAAUUUAGAAGAGGAUCUUCGUGUACGAGACCGGAACUACGAAGGGCCAAUUCAUAAAUCUUAGGUGCAGCUGCCAUCUGAAGUUUCAAAAACCAGAACUGAAAAUCAGUUUCUGUCAAGCAAGGAUAAAAGAAAAAGAAAAAAAAAAAGGGCUCUCUGAUUGCUGUAAAAAGUUUCAGUAAUGUGCAAGAUUCGAAUCACAAUUUCAAAGAAGAUUGAUACCAUUAUAUUUUAACUGGUACUUGGCCCAUUUAUAGAAAAUAGAGAAAAACACACAUCAUACAAGUAAAGUUCUGUUAGCAGAAUAGGUUAAAAUCUAUAUUAAGGUCUUCCCCUCCAGCAAAUGCAAAAUGUUCAGGCAAGCGGUUCAAAAUCUACUAUUCUGUUGACUGACUUAGUAAGUAGACAAAUGGGAUGAUGUAUCAGCAUAUGAAGGAUGAUCUAUAAUUGUUAUAAAUUGAAUGAAACAAAAAAAAAGAAGAAGAGGAAUUAAUUGUCAUAUUUUGGCACUAAAGUGUUAAAGAAAAAAGUAUGACUUCAACACAGAAAAUACUUGAGAGAGACGGACCUGAAACAAAAGGAAUUGUGAACCUUGAUCAGACGAGCGGUGUAGCUGGAUCUCCCAUAUGCUUUCAUAAGAAAGUUCGAGCUUGUAUUUGAAACUUCCCUGGGAGACAAAAAAGUAUAUCUUCCUCAAAUUAAAACCAAAGUUAACGCGAACGUCGGAAGCACUCCAGAGAACACAAAAGCUUCUUUUCAAGACCGGGCAGCCAAAAUGAAGGGUUGCAUGUUCUACAACAAACAAAGAAGCUCUAGGCUUCGGAACAAUGUCGCGUUUCAUAUAUCGAACCUUAAGAUAAUAUCCCUGACACAUCAAGAGGCUAUUGUCAGCCAAGUAAAUUAUUCGUUUGGCUUGCCCUUCUGUUAAGAACUGAACCACAGCAUAAGAUCUCGACUUUUGAGUGGUUACUGCCGGUUGUCUAAGCUUGAGCGCAUAGACGGAUCCAUCGCCUAUAAAUCCUUCCAAAAUGUCCUUCGCAUAAUCAACGCUAGCAUGUAGCGGGAAACCAUGAAUAUUAACCGUCUUGCCUCCCAUCACUUCAGUUGCUGAAGGACCAGAUAAAAACUCAGUUAGCAUUUCUUAAUUCGAUGAUCAGCUAACAAAACAAGAAUGACUCGACAGAUUCGUACUACAAUCUUCGUGAAAAAGAAGCAGAGAUUUGGCAAACACAAUUAGCAGCAUGUUGAAUCUGGAAUUCUCCUUUAAAAAAAAAUUUAUGGAGAGAAAAGCUUUCUUUUAGCAUCAAAUACAUGAUGUUUAUUCCAAAACUUUUCUCCAAACAGAGAGUAAACAAGCUAAGAAUGAUUACUAUACAUUUUUACAGAAAACUUCAAGAACAGAAACACCAGAAUUUUAGCAAAAAGAUAAAAUAACAAGGCAUUAACGUUGGAUUAAAGACCAAGCAUGCACAGUAAACCAAAUUAGUAUGAAAAAUAGCACCGAGAGCAACAAAAUUCCUCAAGAUUAUCUCUGGCCAUAAGAUUUCAAAGGAACAACAUUUUUGACAAUAAAUAUCAAAAAUUGUUUGACAAAGACAUUAUGUAACUAAUCUGAAUCAAGAAGAAACAAGAGAUUUCUCCAGUUAAAUCCUUAGUAGCACUCCCAAUUAUAAAGAAUCAACCCGAGAGCCCCGUUUCCUAUCAAGCAUCAUCAAACCCAAAUAGGGAAAGAAAAUUACCAUAAAUGGUAAAAAAAUCCACUAAUUUGCGAGCUCCACUGUAUGUUUUUUUUUUUUGGGAGAAAUAGAAAAUAAACUUAGCUGGAAAUAUGAAUCAACUAGGAUUCGAACUUGGGACCUCAGGUACCAACCACCAAGUCCUUUGCCACUUCCGAUAGGGACGGUCGGUGCGAGCUCCACUGUAAGAAAGAUCAAACAAAAUAUAUGAGAGAGAUAGUGGUUUCCCCCGAAGAGAAUAGAAACCCACACUAAAAAUCACGCCUUUAUGCUACAAUACAUAGAAACAAAGGAAGAAAACAAAGAAUUAUGAAAAUCCACCAGUAUAUAUAUAUAUAUAUAUAUAUAUAUAUAUAUAUAUAUAUAUAUAUAUAUAUAUAUAUAUAUAUAUAUAUAUAUAUAUAUGCUGUUACACUGUCGAUAGUAUAAAAUAUUUGAUGCUAUCAAGUUGUUAGAUGAAAGGAUGUGCGGUUAAUUAAGAUGUUAGUGAUCCCCUAGGCUUGAGUGAAUUGUUGAUUGAAUAGUAUAAUCUAACGAGUAAAAAUGAUCAAAGGAUAGAUCGGCAGAAAAUCCGAUAAUAGCAAGAGUUUGGUACAUAGCUCUAAAAUUUUUUAUUAGAGAUAUUGAUCUUGCAGUAAAUAGUACAAAAAAAUUUCUAUCAAAAUUUCAUCAAAUUUGAAUACUUCUACACCGUUAAACUUGCAAACGAUAUAUAUCCCCCAUUAAAACUUAUUGAUUUUGAAUUAUUUCGAUCGUUAGGUAAAUAAUAUCCAAAAAUCACAAAAUUUAUUUUCUAGAUACUUCAAAUAUGCUAAAUCAAGUCUAACGGAGCCAAUCUAAGUUCCAUCAUCGAAAACGGCUUAGAAGCACGGAGGCUUCCAUACUCCUAACAGCACACAAAUCCUACUCUCUCUCUCUCUCUCUCUAUAUAUAUAUAUAUAUAUAUAUUUUUCAGUCAACUGAUUUAAAUUAAUUCUGGAGUAAUUUUAUUUUCAGUCUAACUAUGUAUUAAAAUGGAGGGUAGAUUUGCAAGAAGCUAAAAUUUUAGAGGAUUAAAUCUUAUUACUAAAAUUUUUAGGAGUGGCAUUUAAAAAAGCCAAAGUAGUUCGUUUUCAUAAAAUUAAAAACUAUUUCUAGACUAAAAGAAAUUAACUCUAAAUAUAUAUUAGAAAGAAGUUUAAAAUUUAGAAUAAUAAGUUGUUCACUCAAUUUUGCAAGGAUAAAUAUACAAAGCGAUUAUUUUUGAAGAGUAUUUUAAAAGCACUGAGAAUAAAAAAAAAAUAAAUAAAAAGAAGUUUGAAAAGGAAACGUAUAGUGUUAUGAUAUUUAUAUGGUUAGAUUUUAAAAAUAGUCAAAGAAAUAAACAAAUCAAUUAGUUUUUAAGAGAUGGGUAAAUUAAUAAUUUUAUUAUAGAAGAUUUAUCAAGACUACAUAAGCUUAAUAAUCGUAUUAUGCAGGUCUUGGGUCAACUUGAAGUCCUCUUCAUCAUUAAGUUUUCUUUUUUUUUUUUUUUUUUAUUUCUGGUGGGCCCAGGAGAGGGGCAAGCCAGAAAAAUUUGCUUGCCUAACGAGCAAGGAUUCAAAUCUCACCGUAUAGUAGUCCACAAAAAAGAAACUGAUUAACAGUAAUAAUAAAUUACUAUUUUGUUUUAAAUAAAAUAAAAUGUUUGAAUUUUUACCUGAUAAUAACUUAUUCUUCAUAUAAGGUAAGAGUUUUACCUGAAUUUCUUGUUUAAUUAAAAGGUAAGACUUUAAUUUUUUACUUCAGGAAAGGUCUUAGCAUUCAUAAUAAUCUUAUUUUGAGAAAAACAACUUAAAAUAAGCUGAAUAUGCGAAGUCAUUUGAAAUUUUUGACCACAUGCAUAUAUAUAGCUACAAUCAUAAUAGAGAAUUUUCAUACCAAAUAAAAUAUUACUGUAUAACUCGGAACUAUGCUAGAAUACUAUUAAUAACACCAAGUCAUUGGUGUCAUUAAGUUUUCGGCCCUUGAUUAUAGCGAUGUAUGGUUAGGAUGACAGUGAUCUCCUAGAAUUGAGUGAGUGGUUGGUUGAUUGAAUAGUAUAAUUUAAUGAAUAAAAAUGAUCAAAAUAAUUGAUCAGAAAAUUUGAUCGCAUCUAGUGCUUGGUGCUAUCAAUAUUUAAUAGUACUGUCGCCGGAUUUAUACAACUUAUUAUAUCAUACAAACUUGGGGGUUAAUUUGCAUGGACAUAUCCAAAGAAAAAAAGACAGUGCAUAUGAUUAAACAAUAGAGUAGGUUCCUCUCUCUUCACAUUAAAAAGGAGAAAAAAACAAUGUUUGAGGAUAGGAAUCGCUUCUCUAAGUUCUCUAUUCCAUCACCAUGUAUGCAUCAAAGAUUCUUCGCUUCGCUGAUUGGAGGGGCUCAUCUUUUUCAGUUACGAAGGACACCAAAAGCCAAACCUUGCUCACCAAGUAAAGAGAUUUUAUUUGGCAAUUGACUUGACGAGGACCCACCGAGUCAAGGAGAAGAAGAUGCUUUCAGUUACGAAGGACAAGGGCGUGGUCGUUAAUGUGGACUCGACGAGUGCAAUACGCUUGCCACUGUACGGAACUCGAUAUUAUGCUGAGUCUCCACGAGGAUUUUAAUGGACUGUUAUCAUAUGUGAGAACAAAAAAAAAAAAAAAAAANAAAAAAAAAAAAGAUUCUUCGCUGCUCUCAUUGGAGGGGCUCAUCUUUUUCAGUUACAAAGGACACCGAAAGCCAAAUCUUGCUCACCAAGUAAAUAUAGCCAAAUCUUGCUCACCAAGUAAAUAUAUUUUAUUUGGUAAUUGACUUGAUGAGGACCCACAGAGUCAAGGAGAAGAAGAUGCUCUCAGUUGUACUAUUACUAGUAUUUUUUUCCCUGCCACUAAAUGGCUGCAACUGGAGUUGUGAGUUGAGUGUGGAUUUUGACACGCGAGCUGGGUCGGGUCGGGUCGGGUCGGCUAUGCUUGUUUUUAACAUGCAUUGAUUCGACAAGGGUAGCGAUUGUGCGGAACUCGAUUUUACGUGAGUCCUGCAGAGAUUCAGGUAAUAGGAGGAUUUUCAUGGAGUGUCACAUGAGAAAAUAGUAAAGAUAUUGAAUCAUGUUGAGUUCCACAGAUGAAAAAAAAUGAAUGACCAAGGGAUUCGGGAUGUAAUGUACAGAACAGCGAGUGCUCGCGAUGGAAUAGCACAUUUUCACAUGAGUGUCGGAUCAUCGAAUAUGUACAUACAACAAACAAACCACGAUCAAACACCAAAGCUUGAAUCAUUUCAUGCUCAAAAAUAGCAUGACCCCCUCUUAGUUUUGAAGUUCACUAGUUGGGUCGCGUGAAAACCAUUUGGUGGAGCCUAUUAGCCAAGCCUCUCCAUUUUGGGAAACUAUCGAUAAACUGGCUAUUAUUUUCUCUAUCUCUACUUUCUUUAAGAUUGGAGAUGGCACAUUGGCCCCCUUUUUUUUUGAGAAAUAGGUAGCAAGCUACCUGCUUCAUUCAUUAAGGAAAAUGAACUAGGCGUACAAGAUGGAGGCAGCUGAGGCCUCCUUAAGAGCCGAAGGCAACCAAAAAGUCACUAAAAAAGUCCAUUGUACAGAACAAACCAAGGAAAAAAAGGCACAUUGGCCCCCUUUUGGAAUUACAUUUGGUUGGGCAAGACCUCUCUCAAUUGUAGAUUCCCUAACCUCUUUUCUUUUGCAAUUGACCCGAAUGCACGCAUUGGCGCAAACUAUGCUGAGCGUUCAUAGUACAUCUCAACCAGGGGUGACCGAUCCAGAGAAGGAGAAGAAGAGCUCUAGGACUUAUAUGAUGAACUACACUCCAUCUCAUUUUCGCUUGAAUCAGAUAAAAUCAUGCGGCGAUGGGCCUCAAGGGGGUGCUUCUCUAUUUCAUCAGCUCACGGUUUUCUAAUCAACAGGGGUGUUAGGUAUGGUCAUCGUAUUGUGAUCUGGAAGCAAGCCAUUCCUCUGAAUAUCAAGAUUUUCACUUGGCUCGCCAUUCAUAAUAAAAUACUUACUGUCGAUAAUUUGGCCCAAAGAAGUUGGCUAAACUCCGGAAAAUGUGUUCUUUGUGGAAUUUCCGAUGAAACCCGUAAUCAUCUUUUAAUCUACUGUCCCUUUACAGUAGAUGUUCUGGCCCUCCGCCUUCGUAGGACAAACCUCACCCACGCAGGUUCACUACAUCUAACUGAUUGGUGGCGCACCGUCAGAUAUUCUUUCUUGAAGGAACUGCAGCCUGGCUGUGACUAUCUCAUCAUGGCUUUCUUUUGGUGCAUUUGGUUGGAGCGAAAUCGCAGGAUUUUUCAAUAUGCCUCAAAGAUUACAAGAUCAAUUGCAAUCGGAAUCAAAUCUCCAUUGGUAUCUUCCUCAGCUACUUCUCUAUCUAAAUUCUAGCUCGAGUUAUUUCAUCGAGACCUAUUUUUUGACUUUGAAAUGAAUUACCAGAGAACUACAUAUGUAAACCUUGGAAAUGUACAUAAUUUCAUGUAGUAGUAUUAUUCUGGUAAGCAGGUCUACCUACCACUUUCCAAAAGAACAGAAAAAGAAGAAAAAAAACUUACUAGGUACCUCGUGUUAGUCCGCAAGGUGCUGCUUCAGAUCUACACAGCAAAUUCAUGGCCAGCAUAUCACACCGCAAGGUGCUGCUUUAGAUCUGCACAGCAAAUUCAUGGCCAGCGUAUCAAUGAAGAUAUCAGCUCUCAUAAAGAAAAAAAAAAAAUUCUUGCAAGGAAAGCUCAAGGAAUAUGUUUCGAAUUAAUACAAGCUUGCUGUUUCGGGGAUAAUACGUGGAAAAUAUUACAAGCCAAGCAGUUUACAAUAUUAUUACAACACAACCAUGUUAACUACUUCAACUGAUUCACAAGCGCACACUAAUAAAGUUCACAAUAUUAUUGCAACACAACCAUAUUAACUACUUUAACUGAUUCACAAGCACACUCUAAUAAUUAUUUCAUAUGUACACAAUGUGUACACAUAGAUCACCAAAAUGACUUCAAUUCUCUCAAACGAUUCUCAAUCCUUGCUCCAUCCAUGAAGACAAUUCAGCUUGCCUCUUCCUCAUCUCUAUCUUAUUUUGUUUGAUGAUCACCAGCUUGUCGUAGACACUCCAAGGAAAGCUAAGGAAAUGGGGCCUGUCCAAACCUUCAUUGUAGCGACCCCAAUAGUCCGGGUGAUAAGUAACAUAAUACCAGGCUGAUGCUUUCGCAUAUAAGUCAUCUUCGCGCUGGUCGUUAUCACCACUCAUAUCUUUAAACCAUGACCUCGCUUCUUUUCUUAAUGAUUUUACCGCCAACGUAAUUGCUUCUUCAUCUUUAUACUUGGUAAAGGUCUUUCCCAUCUUCAAAAUGCUGCCACUGAGUAUCUCGGCCUCUGUUUUAAUCCCAUAAUGGUCCAUUAAGUUCCCCAGCUUGAAAUCAUAAUCAUCCUUGAAAGAAGAAGCUUCAUCGAGGUAAUCACUAAAGCCGUCGACUUCCAUAUCAGGGUCGUAAGACCGCCUUGCCGCCUCCUUUGUGAAUUUCUUUAUACUGUCUGACUGGGGUGUACUCUCUUUGAUCGCCCUGUAGAGUCUUCCUAUAACACCCGUUGAUUUGUA